RNAcentral lists this ribosomal RNA (248 nucleotides) under uncultured bacterium. Its description in RNAcentral is "partial small subunit ribosomal RNA". It matches the Rfam family "Bacterial small subunit ribosomal RNA", at positions 26 to 280 of the family's 1533-position model. The record is from RNAcentral.
AGGACGAACGCUGGCGGCGUGCUUAACACAUGCAAGUCGAGCGGAAAGGCCCUUCGGGGUACUCGAGCGGCGAACGGGUGAGUAACACGUGAGUAAUCUGCCCCUAGCUCUGGGAUAGCUCCGGGAAACCGGGAUUAAUACCGGAUACGACCACCUUAGACAUCUUUUGUGGUGGAAAGAAUUUCGGCUAGGGAUGAGCUCGCGGCCUAUCAGCUUGUUGGUGGGGUAACGCCUACCAAGGCGACGAC